RNAcentral lists this ribosomal RNA (407 nucleotides) under uncultured bacterium. Its description in RNAcentral is "partial 16S ribosomal RNA". It matches the Rfam family "Bacterial small subunit ribosomal RNA", at positions 30 to 526 of the family's 1533-position model. The record is from RNAcentral.
AUUGACCGCUGGCGGCAGGCCUAACACAUGCAAGUCGAGCGGAGCGGCGGAAGGGUGAGUAAUGCCUAGGAAUCUGCCUGGUAGUGGGGGAUAACGGCCGGAAACGGGCGCUAAUACAGCAUACUAUCAGAUGAGCCUAGGUCGUAUUCGCGAGUUGGUGGGGUAAAGGCCUACCAAGGCGACGAUCCGUAACUGGUCUGAGAGGAGGAUCAGUCACACUGGAACUGAGACACGGUCCAGACUCCUACGGUAGGCAGCAGUGGGGAAUAUUGGAAAAUGGGCGAAAGCCUGAUCCAGCAAUGCCGCGUGUGUGAAGAAGGUCUUCGGAUUGUAAAGCACUUUAAGUUGGGAGGCGUUACCAACAGAAUAAGCACCGGCUAACUUCGUGCCAGCAGCCGCGGUAAUUC